RNAcentral lists this unclassified non-coding RNA (136 nucleotides) under uncultured Podospora. RNAcentral describes it as "sequence contains ITS1". Lineage: Eukaryota; Fungi; Ascomycota; Sordariomycetes; Sordariales; Lasiosphaeriaceae. The record is from RNAcentral.
CCGAGUGUAAAACUCCCAACCCUUUGCGAACGAGCUAGACAGUUGCCUCGGCGGAGGCCCCUUCAGGGGGCUGUCCGCCGGAGGACCGCUAAACUCUUGUAUUUUUGGCCUCUCUGAGUAAUUCUAUAAUGAAUCA